RNAcentral lists this small RNA (125 nucleotides) under Marmota monax (woodchuck). Lineage: Eukaryota; Metazoa; Chordata; Mammalia; Rodentia; Sciuridae. The record is from RNAcentral.
GUCAGGCGUGGUGGCGCAGGCCUGUAAUCCCAGCAGUUUGGGAGGCUGAGGCAGGAGGAUUACAAGUUCAAAACCAGGCUCAGCAAAAGCGAAGCACUGAGCAACUCAGUGAGACCCUGUCUCUA